Long non-coding RNA from Toxorhynchites rutilus septentrionalis, 3296 nucleotides. RefSeq lists it as uncharacterized. The record is from RefSeq and is a predicted model, not a curated record. Lineage: Eukaryota; Metazoa; Arthropoda; Insecta; Diptera; Culicidae. The transcript is spliced from 3 exons.
AAUAUUAAGGGAUCGCGGCAAUUAUAUUAUCCAGUUUGGGUACGAAGUCACGAGAAACCCACAAACGAAAAUUUUAAUUAUCCGUAAAUAAAUAUUAAAAUUUCGGAAAUCUGUUUCAUCUGUUGCUUCGCUACAUUGAGCAUGAGAAAGUGAUCGGUCAAACCCUACGUUGUGUCUUAAUUUUUGUAUUUUACAGGACAUCCGAUGUGGAUUUCGAAUCAAAGCACGUUUUAACAUUCAAAUUACAGAGAAACUUUUUAAUGCAUACUUAAACUUUAUUUCACAAUUAACGAACAAUGGACAUAAUAGAGCUUUUAUAACAAGACGAACUUAACAUAGUGCUUUAUUCCUUACAACUAACAGACAAACUAUAUACGAUGAGUACAAUGAUCUAUUGGAUCGUGCAGUGCUACCAGACGACAAGAAAAAUCUCGUCUAAUUUUGAGGAAACACAGUCUUGAAAUAUUUCACAAUCCAACAUACCCGCCGCCUUGAACGAUCAGUUUCAAUAAACAAUAACAAAAAACAUUUACAAUGGAUGUGCUUUUAGGCUUCGCUACAAAUUUACAAUUUAUUUAUCUAAAUUAGAGGCAUUCCGGUUGACUGGUAAGCCUAUGCGUCCGUCCUGAUCCAGAUCUACUGAUGAAUCUGGUAGAAAGCAGAUCUUGGAAGUGGGUCGAGUGAUAACUCCGCGAGCCGUGCGAAGAGAGACGACUCUGAUGAUAUGGUCCUUCCCAGGAUGAACGUCCACAAUACGUGCCAAGGACCAUCGUGUAGGCGGCUGCAAUUCAUCAACUAUGAUGACCAUUCUGCCGAUCGAAAUUCCAUCGUUCCGUAUUGAGCCUUUAGUGUCCUUCUGGAGCUCCUGAAGAUAUUCUGAACGCCAGUGACGCCAAAACCUUUGCACAUGCAUCUGAAGUUCUUGGAAGUGAUCAAGCCGGUUAGCUGGAAGAUGAUGGAGAUCUGGGUCGGGCAGGGCGGUUAUUGUAGUGCCUAUGAGGAAGUGCGCCGGAGUUAAAGCUGCUAAAUCGUUUGGGUCAUCCGUAAUCGGUAGUAGCGGUCGUGUAUUCAUAGAUGCUUCGACUUGAGUCAAAAUGGUACACAUGUCCUCGAAAGACAGCUUGGAGCAUCCUAACUGACGAUAGAGAUGUCUUUUCGCCACCUUGACCGCGGCCUCCCAGAGACCACCGAAGUGUGGUGCUUUAGGCGGUAUUAAAUGCCAUGUGAUGUCUUCUUCUGUGCAGGCAGAUGAUAUUUCGCAGCUGUCAUUUAGCAUUUCGAAUAAUUGGGAUAAUUCGUUUCUAGCUCCCUCGAAAUUCUUCCCGUUGUCCGAGUGUAUGUGCAGUGGACGACCACGACGAGAUAUGAAGGGACGGAGAGCGCAUAGAAAGGCCUGGGUUUAUAAAUCGCUGGCGAGCUCGAUGUGGACUGCCUUCGCAGCGAAACACACAAAUAUGCAAAUAUAUGCUUUAGUCGGAGCGGCACGUUUAUGUAUCGGCUUCAAAUAUACGGGCCCUGCAUAGUCGACGCCAGUUAUGCUGAAUGGACGACUCGGAGUGACUCUCGAAGUAGGCAGCUGUCCAAUUUGCUGCUGGACAGGUACGGGGUUGAGGCGAGUGCAACGAAAACAGUUUCGCACAAUAUUUCGAACUAAUCUGCGACCCUGUAGUGGCCAGAAUUCUUCACGUAUGGCGGUCAGCAGUAAACGCCCGCCGCCAUGAAGUAGUUUUUGGUGGAAGUACUCUGCAAUUGCCCGUGUAAAAGGAUGAGGAUUUGGUAGUAAGGCAGGAUGUUUGGUUUGGUAGGGAAGCUGGGACAGAUUCAAUCGACCUCCCACUCUGAGUAUUUUCUCUGGGUCUAAGAAUGGACUCAUUUUACGAAUAUGUGAAUGUUUUGAUAAUAAUUUCUCUUUUUCCAUUUUUUCCUUCUUUCUCCAUUUUGCUGUUGAGAAAUUCUUCGACUGUCAUACCACGGGACACUAGAUCCGCUGGAUUCUCGCAACCGGACACAUGAUUCCACUGAGAGUCGUGUGUGAAAUGUUGAAUCUCGGAAACUCUGUUUGCCACGAAUGUUUUCCAUACAUUCGGUGGUGAUCGUAACCAUUGCAGUGUAACUGCAGAAUCGGACCAGAAAUAUGAUCCUGAAAUGCUGAUGUCAAUUGCCUGUUUAAUUCGUGAGUGGAGAUGUGCUGCUAGAACCGCUGCGCAAAGCUCAAGACGCGCAAUAGAUAGCCGCUUCAAUGGAGACACUUUCGACUUGGAUGCUAAAAGCUGAAUCCUCACGUUUCCUCGUGCAUCUUCACAACGUGCAUGCUCCAUAGGCCUAUUCAGAGCCGUCAGCGAACGUAUGGAGUUGUAUUGACGAGUUUAUCUGGAACGCAAAUCAGUCAGCUCGAUAAGCUGCUAUCAUGGGAAAGCAACCACAGUUCUUGCAUUAGAAUUUUUUCCUUGACGACAACAGGAGCAAUGAGACCCAAAGGGUCAAAAAGUCUAGCUAUGGUGGAGAGUAUGGAGCGUUUUGGUGGAACUUCGUGGUGAUCUUGAACAACCGAAUCGAAUCGAAGGAAAUCGCCUUCGGGCUCCCAGCAUAUGCCCAAAGUCUUGAUGGUUUCGCAUGGACUGAAUUGGAGUGUAGAUUCAGUUCCUAUCUGAUCGACAUUCAAACCAUGGAGCACUUCUAGUCGAUUUGAUGUCCAUUUCCGGAGCUCGAAGCCGCCUUUCUGGAGCAAAUUAGUCAGUUCAUUCCGCAACUGGACUGCUGUCUCUAUGAAUUGGGCGCCGCCAAUAAAAUCGUCCACAUAAAAACAUUUUUGUACUGCAGGUGCGCCUAUUGGAAACGAUUCUUUCUCGUCGUCUGCCAAUUGUUGCAGAGUGCGUGUAGCAAGAUACGAGGAAGGUGCUAAACCGUAAGUCACGGUUAGGAGUUCGUAAACUUCGAUUGGAGCUUCUUGGGAAAAAACGCCAGAAAAUUCGUUGCAGCGGUGUAUCGUUCGGAUCCACAAGUACUUGCCUGUACAUUUUUGCAACGUGAUAUUCACUUUUCAGCUUUGGAUUCCGUUCUAGCCUUUUCUCGAGUAAUUGAAAUCGCCGUAGGGCAUUUGUCCUUGAGUCUUGAAAUCAGGCUUCCGUGGUAGGCGAACUAUGUAUCGCCCUUCAACGUUUCUUGUUGUAGUGGUUGCGUAUGUUGUUUCACAAUGUCUUUCCUCUAUCGAAAAAUUAUCUUUCGUUUGUAACUCCUCGGUUUUACAAAAACGCUCCAAAGAAUCUUCCAAUGAUACCAUUGCUACUUCAACAACA